Anas platyrhynchos (mallard) is the source of this 6342-nucleotide non-coding RNA. NCBI's taxonomy places the organism in Eukaryota, Metazoa, Chordata, Aves, Anseriformes, Anatidae. The record is from RefSeq and is a predicted model, not a curated record.
UUCUGAUGGGUGGUUUAGGAGGAAUCCUUUGCCAAGUGCAUAGUUACGUGCAGUGCAGCAGAACAGACCUUGAACCUAAAUAAAUUGCAGGUAGGCUUCUGCCUUCCUCCUUUCAGGCUUUUUAUAAGGAAUAUGUAGAACAGUUUCUUGCUCAAAUGAAGAAAUAGCAUUUUACUAUUAUUGUAUAAAAGGAAAACACAAUGAGCCCUUAAAUAACACUUCUUGCUCCACCUCCCAUGACCUCCUGGGGUUUCCAUAUGUCUUACAGUUGCCUGGAGAGCUGUGCUACUGCCGGCUUCACAGUGGCGGCUGUGUCUCAGCAGCUAGCACACGAUGCCAGCUGAAUGUGCGUGGGUGUCUUUUGUGUGUUUCCGAAUCAAAGGAGUUUCAAUGCUGAAAAGCAUCUUCUCUUGAGGAGAAGAAAUGGAGCUUACUGUACCAGAGCUGUGGGCAGGCACAGAUCCUGUGGCAUUGUUACUGUAAAAAGCGCUGAAGCACUCCCAUAAAAAACUCAGCAGUUAAUAGUGCCAUACGUUGUGAUUAUUAUCUUUGUUCAUGUCUUCCUGCUCCAAUGAUUUUAUUAACAGCAGGAAUUUGCAAAACCAUCCUAGCAUUGCAGUUCACAGAUGUGUAAUAUCUGCUGCCUUCCUGUCUGGACAAUGAGCUGUCACAAGUGAAAAAAAAUUACUGGAGCUUGGAUUUGUUGCUUUUAGGAUAGUCCUCUUCCUAUGCUGCUAGUAAUAACAUACAGAUGAAUGGUAACUACUCAUGUGGUUUAGAAGAUUGGCAGUGUGUAAAACCCAGUUUGAAAUGACUUUACAAAGGCUUUUUUAAAAGAUACUACAUACACUACCUUAGUUUUUGUAGGAUCUCAUUUCUUGAAACACAGCUCCUUCAUGUUAUGUACCUGGAAAGAAACUCCUCCUUCCCUGACCGGCCCAGCUGAAAGCACGGUGCUGUGCACUUCGUUCCUUACCACAGGCACAUGGAACCGUUCUUGGGAAGCAUCUUGCAAAUACAAAGAAAAAAAAGCUGAGGUGAGGAUGCAAUGAAUUGUUGACUGUCUGUAAGGACCACAGCCUAAGAUGCUCAGCAACGAAAGGCCAACAGCAACUCACACGAGCGUGCUGUUUGUCAGCUCAGAACAAAGCCAGCUGUAGAUGAUGUAAAAUAGGACUGGGAAUGGUGAUUGAGUUCUGGAUGGCCUGAAGAGCCAGCCACUGCAUAACUCAGUUUGGCAGUUUUUAGUUUGUGUAUACAGUAUACAAGCUGUGCUGUGUACAGGCUCUCAAAUGGUCGCCAGCUCUUCUCAGCAGUGUACAGCUUGGAUAUGCGUGAGCAAACCUGUGAAUUGGUCCUGUUACCCUGAGAAGUCUUCUGUAGUGCCUCUCGCCGUCAGGCCAGCCACUGUUUUCUCCCCAGAAUGAAGAACUUCAGAGCAUUUUCUAAUACUUUAGGACUCUUAAGAUACUAACGCACGUUCCAGCUUGGCCUCAGAAAAGCCAUCUCUGUUUGUCUCAGAGGGGCUCCCUGCUUGUUUGUGGUAAGCGCAGAGCAGGAAACAAGCUCUGCAGCAGCAUUAGCUUGUGCUGGAUGCUGAGUGCCAUAAAAGGCAUUUAAAUUAUGUAUGUGCCUCCUGGCCUGCCUUUGAGUUUAUCUUCAGCAAGCUCAGCUGAUUUGAGCCUGAUGCUAUCAUAAUGGGGCUUUGAUACUUUCAUAUGUGUCUUCUCCUUUAACAAGACAGAAAUAGCUUUAAACAUUUUCCUGUAUUUGGCUUUUCCAGGAAGCUUAGCACACUUGUAUCUAUUGCUUGCAUUUCCUAUUUUGCCUUUUCAACAGUGAAAUUGUUGAAAUGAUUGCCUGAAGCCCAGACUCCUUGGAGUUAGCAGGAAGUUGCUGAGAUUUCCCAGGCAUGUGCUUUAUGCUUUAUUUCCAAACCAGAAAACUUUCUCUUAAUCGCAAGAAUUUAUUUCUUAGAGGCAUGCAUUUUUGAUAACUGAUUUUACAGCCAGGAAAAACGUGGCAGAUCUGAGCUACCUGUAAAUCGGUAAAGUAUGGACACAGUUGGAAAAACAAGGUAAUAACUCAGACUGACACAAGGGAAACAAAGAAAAGCUGUCAGAGUGGAAGUUUUAUAGGUGAAUUCCUCAUAGUGAGGUUGGUGCACCUAUCUUGUUUAUAUUUGCAGUAGUGAUGGCAGCACGAGAAUUAGGCGUAUAGUAAACUUACAGAAGCAAUAGUAUCAGAAGGUUGCACAAGAACACCCUGGCUAAGGCCUGAAGUUCUUUUAAAAAAGGGGAGAGGGGUAAUUUCAUAGUGUGAUGGGGAAGAGCAUAUGGUUAAGAAGGCACUCUCAAAGCUCCUCUGUUGAAAGUGACAAAGGAGGGAUAGCAGGGGUUUUGGCUGAACACAAGAUGAGGAGGAGCCAAGAGUAAGAUACAGCUGUCAGAAAAUGUUUUCCUGGAUAUUUUGGUCAGUAUAUUUUUACUAGAGUCAUGUAACAACUCAUAACAUCACACUGAUUUUUUUUAAUGUAUAAAAAUAAUAACAAACUCAGUCUGGUACAGAAGAGAUUUCGUGGAAAUGAAGCUUUUAUGGAAGCUGGCUUAUCAAGGUAGAAUGAAGUCAUAAGGCAAAGCACAAGGGUAAAUAGGUAAAAACUGUCUGAUAGUAGCGUUAGCCUGGAUGUUAGUAACAGCUUUUAGACACUGAUUUGAGUAAGAUUCUGAUGCAGCAGAAUCAAUGACAACGAGCACUGUAAAUAGCUUUAGGAUAAAACCUGGUUGUUUCCAGAAGCGAUGCUGUGGGAUGGUUACCUGCAAGACAGGGAGCAGGUCUCACCCGGCUCCCUUGCACAGCCACGAUGAAAAGCUGAGCUGAGUUUAGCACCUGCCCUUUCAGAGACGUCAGCACAUGGUGGGCACGUUAAGUGGUCUUCAAAGAUCCUGUUUUCACUCGUUUCCUCUGUUCUGCUUGCCAGCGCUUUGCAGCGCUGUGUGUCACACAAAGAGCUUAUCUAACCUCAUCUUUGCUCUGACUGGCUUAUUUUACGUUUUCAAGGUAACACAGUUUAUAAUUUAAUACCAAUCUGUGUUUCCUUUCUGUUCAUCUGUUUUCUUAGUACAAAGAUAUUGACCUACUAGCUUGGAGGCAGGGAAAGAAAGGGUGAUUUUAUUUCCUAUUGAACAACCAAACUGAUAUGAUCUGUGUUUGCAUCGUUAGAUUGGAAGAAAGAAAGGAGUUCAACCAUUAGGCUCUUAAGUCAAGUUAUUGCUAAAUUCUGCUUGCUUGCUCCUGCUUUGCUCAAUAAACUGUAAAUCGUAGCAACGUGCCCCCAGCAUCCUAGCUUGGACGUUCAAUUACUUGUGGCCAUAAAAGCCGAUAAUCUCCUGGUCAAUGAUGCAAGCAACACUUCCCAUUUCAGUUAACUGAAAUUGCUCAACAAUUACAGCACCUUCCUCCCCUUUCACGUGCAGCCCACAGACCUCUGGGCAGAAGCAGCCUUUCACAAGAGCCACAGCACGAGGGAAAUCUUUCUGGCGCUUGUUAACAAUUCCAAUCUAAUCCCACUCACCAGGAAAACCACAACUGUUACCGCCUCGGGGCUUCUGCAGUUGGACCAAGUAACUCCAAUGCAGUUCCUCAUCAGUAAAUGUGUAAUCUGCAAAGCAACUGUUGCAGGUGGUGUUAGCUGAUGUACUUCAUUGCCUAGUGAGCAAAGAAAUGCAGGAUUAGGAAAACACAGAGUCCGAAUUCAGCUUUAAAAGGCAGGAUGGCCCAAAGACUAGAGGUAAAGCCUUUUUUAUUUUUGGAUAGCCCAUCAAGUAACACUAAUUAAUUCCUCCUUACCUUUGCUGAAAGAGGAAGGCUUGACUCUACCUCGCCUUUGUAAAGGUGGAAGGAAGAGGGGCGGAAGUAAGAUGGAUCAUUUAAGGAAAUCUCAGAGUUAAAUGGGAUGGCAUUCUGAGACCAGUGAGUUUUUACUGCUUCAACCUGCAUGUAAAAGCUUUCCAUCUCUGUGACAUGCCUUUCAGAGCACAGGGUCCUCUGGCAAUCGCAGUGCAGGAGGGUACUCCAAGCUUGUUGGUAGGCAAGGUUAAAACAUUUAUGUAUGCUCUCUUUAAAAACACAUAUAUACCUUGCUUGUGGCUGAAGAGAACAUGCAGAAAAGAUGUGAUUUAAGAAACUCCUCUGAAUAACUUAUUAAACAUGAUACUGUGUCAACAUGGGCAAUGUUACUGCAGGGCCAUUAGUUGUCUUCCACAUGGCACUGAGUCCACCAUCCCAGAGCCCUGAUGAUGAAGGCAGCAUGUAUUAUUUACUUUCCCUUAGUGCCUACAAACCUCUCUGCAUCUGGUGCUGUAAAAGCCAGUUGUAAGAAGUCAUAUCAGUUUCAAAAGGCUGAUGGCUAAGGAAACGAAAAAAGACAAAGGAUUGAAAAACAUAUUUUUCUUGUGGAGAUGCGGAAUGGCAAUCAGUGGGGGUUGAGAUUUAUCUGAGAUCUCAGAGAAGUCUACAGGAGAGCUGGGAAUGGAGCAUGGUUCUCCGAGUCCCACUUCACUCCUUCAGCUCAAUGGUCUGUGAACCCUCAACAUGCUAGUUUCCCACUCCUGUAUUUUUGCUGGAGAGCCACGCUUCAGGAGCUCGUUUCAGAAUCUGUGAAAAUGUAGGUGACCAGCCUGAACUCAGCCCAGUAGCAAAUUAUAGGUCCUAGUUCCAGUAAGAGGAAUGAAGAGGAAUGAUAUUGAAGAAUUUUAGUGCACUAAUGGAAAAAUGGUUAUGCUGUGCAUGAGAGCCUCAUUCAGAGAUACAGCUCUGGCUCAGGAAACAGGCUGGGAUUUCAAGAUCUGCUACUGGGCAAAGUUAUAAACACUCAAAGUAUCAGCAAGUGAGAUUUGACUGAAAUAACUGCAGAAAUGGCACCUGAGGGUGAUGUGGUAGAAAGCAAAAAGAAACCUGACAAAGCCAGUCAUCUUUUCUACCUGGUGCAAUACAGCAGGGGUUCGUUGGCCGCAGCUCGGUGCUUCAGAAAAAGUCAUCACAACAGCGGCAGCAGCACUGUGAGCUGUUCUGUGGCAUCUUCUCAGGGGCUCUGAUGGAGAUGGCCCAGAGAGUGUCCUGGGAGCUGGAGGUCCUCACCUCGCUUCACCACCUGAUCAUGUAAACACGGAACUGGUCGACGUCCCCUUUGUGGAUCUAACAUACCUGCCGUCAGCGCUGCCUCCACACGAAUGGUGAAGGAGGAAGAGAAAAAGCAAAGAGCCCCACGACUGCUUCAGUCUGACCCAGAUACGCACAAGGAUUCCCCUCCACACCUCUUAAAACUCAAAAAGGAUUCCCCUUUUACCUUUCAGUAAGUUCUCCAGCUAAUCUAACCUCCGUGCUGCAAGUCUGCCGUCUACUUAUACAAAAACAUUUGCAGAACAAUCCUUUUUCCAUUCUGGAUCCUGGGUGUUGCUCGCUUUCUGUAGAAGGGCUAGGAAGGUGCACAGUGCGAGAUGUCAGCAGAAGCCUCGUGUUGCCUCUUCUGAUAGGAUCUGCCUUAAGCAACGUGCUCUAGACUGAGAAGGAAACCAAACCAGUUUGUGCCAGUGGCUGCUGCAGCAGUUCUGGGCUGACACCAAGCCCACCAGAAACCCCAAAGUAACUACUGUAAGCCAGAGGAGAAAACUUCUAUAUAUACGUGUGUGUAUUUAUGCCACUUCAUUGCAUCUUUUAGGAAGAGAGCUAUUCCUGUACCUAGGUAGCUCAUAACAGGAGACUGAAACUAACUGUGCAGAGCUAACAGAGCUGCAAUUUGAAAUCACGACUGAGGAUGAUUUGAAAUCAGGACUGUGGAUGAAGGCAUACAAUUUAAAACACACUGCAUCCAAAUGCAUAGAUGUUCUAUUACCACCACAAUGGGGUUUUUAAGAAACCGUAGCAAAGCGCAGACAACCUGUCUCACCCGUCACACUGUUCUUUCUCUUUCACUAUUCAAGUGUGUAGGAGCCCCUCUACUGGACCAGAAUCCUACUGCACUAUCCGGACAUAACCAAAAGGCAGGCCUGACCUCAGGUGUAGCUGUUUUGCUUUGUUUGCCUCCUAACAAUGCUUUAAAAUGUCACGUAGGAGACUACAAAAGUGUCACUGCAUUAAACCGCUGUGCCCCAGUCCAACAGAGGCAGCUUUGGCCUCUCUGUGCACCUCCAAAGAGGCUGUUUCAUGAGCUAGCGCAGCCCCUGAAGGAACAGAGACCUUUGCACUGCUUGCUUGCUCUUUAAAGAUGUGAUGUUUUUAGUGUGGAUGUAAUUUGGAAAGGUUGAGUGCUGUAACACUUCGGCUGUAAGCACUGAGGUGGAA